This is a long non-coding RNA of Carassius auratus (goldfish), 327 nucleotides long. RefSeq lists it as uncharacterized. NCBI's taxonomy places the organism in Eukaryota, Metazoa, Chordata, Actinopteri, Cypriniformes, Cyprinidae. The transcript has 2 exons. The record is from RefSeq and is a predicted model, not a curated record.
GAUCUCUCAUCCGGUGCAUGUGUAAUCCAGUUUUACAGGCUUUCACGUCUAACAUACUGUGGCCAGUGGCGUCAGGUACUGGAAGGAACUGUAUAAAGCAACAACAAUUAUAUAACGUUCAACUACGCCACCCGGUAUAUAUACCGGGAACUGCCAGCCCCAAGACAGGGGGGCGCACAGGUUCGUUACCGAAAAAUGGGUGAGCAGAGAGACAUAGGCCUGGGAGUACAAAAAAAAAAUGAAGCAGCUUUAUUCAAUACAAAAUUUAAAAUCAUCAAUACAUUACCAUCAAGGGCUAAAUAUUCACAUGUCAACAAAAGAAAAAAA